RNAcentral lists this ribosomal RNA (465 nucleotides) under uncultured bacterium. RNAcentral's name for it is "partial 16S ribosomal RNA". It matches the Rfam family "Bacterial small subunit ribosomal RNA", at positions 28 to 507 of the family's 1533-position model. The record is from RNAcentral.
GACGAACGCUGGCGGCGUGCUUAACACAUGCAAGUCGAACGGAAAGGCCCUGCUUGCAGGGUACUCGAGUGGCGAACGGGUGAGUAACACGUGGGUGAUCUGCCCUGCACUUCGGGCUAAGCCUGGGAAACUGGGUCUAAUACCGGAUAGGAGCCAUUUUUAGUGUGAUGGUUGGAAAGUUUUUUCGGUGUAGGAUGAGCUCGCGGCCUAUCAGCUUGUUGGUGGGGUAAUGGCCUACCAAGGCGGCGACGGGUAGCCGGCCUGAGAGGGUGGACGGCCACAUUGGGACUGAGAUACGGCCCAGACUCUUACGGGAGGCAGCAGUGGGGAAUAUUGCACAAUGGGCGCAAGCCUGAUGCAGCGACGCCGCGUGGGGGAUGACGGCCUUCGGGUUGUAAACUCCUUUCGCUAGGGACGAAGCUUUUUGUGACGGUACCUAGAUAAGAAGCACCGGCUAACUACGUG